CCUACGGGAGGCAGCAGUAGGGAAUCUUCCACAAUGGGCGAAAGCCUGAUGGAGCAACGCCGCGUGGGUGAAGAAGGUCUUCGGAUCGUAAAACCCUGUUGUUAGAGAAGAAAGUGCGUGAGAGUAACUGUUCACGUUUCGACGGUAUCUAACCAGAACGCCACGGCUAACUACGUGCCAGCAGCCGCGGUAAUACGUAGGUGGCAAGCGUUAUCCGGAUUUAUUGGGCGUAAAGGGAACGCAGGCGGUCUUUUAAGUCUGAUGUGAAAGGCUUCGGCUUAACCGGAGUAGUGCAUUGGAAACGGGGAGACUUGAGUGCAGAAGAGGAGAGUGGAACUCCAGGUGUAGCGGUGAAAUGCGUAGAUAUAUGGAAGAACACCAGUGGCGAAAGCGGCUCUCUGGUCUGUAACUGACGCUGAGGUUCGAAAGCGUGGGUAGCAAACAGGAUUAGAUACCCGGGUAGUC
This 465-nucleotide ribosomal RNA is filed under the name uncultured bacterium. Its description in RNAcentral is "partial 16S ribosomal RNA". It matches the Rfam family "Bacterial small subunit ribosomal RNA", at positions 338 to 795 of the family's 1533-position model. The record is from RNAcentral.